This 425-nucleotide long non-coding RNA is filed under the name Homo sapiens (human). RNAcentral describes it as "HSALNT0075271". Lineage: Eukaryota; Metazoa; Chordata; Mammalia; Primates; Hominidae. The record is from RNAcentral.
AGACUUCCCCCCAAGAGAACAGGUGCCUAACAUCUUACACAACUAAGAGCAAAAGAGAGAAAAUCUCCAAGAGGAUAGGCUACAGUAAUUUGUCUAGAAAUGACAGUGUAAUGCCACUCUGGUCAAUGAGACCUAAGAGGAAGUCUACUGGAAGACAUCUGGGAAAGAUUUACCAUCCUGAAAAAAGACAUCUCUGGAGGCUGGGAAGUCUAAGAUCAAGGAUCUGGCAUAUGGCAAGGACUUUGCUGCAUCAUCAGAUGGAGGGAGACAAAAGGACAAAGAAGCAAAAGGGGUUCAAAUUUGCCUUAUUAUAAUGGCAUUAAGCUGGCUCGUGUAGGCAGAGCCCUCAUGGCCUAAUCACAUCUCAAAAGUCCCACCUCUUAAUACUGUUACAAUGGCAAUUAAAUUUCAACAUGAAUUUUGAA